RNAcentral lists this ribosomal RNA (228 nucleotides) under Trichomonas vaginalis G3. RNAcentral describes it as "5.8S ribosomal RNA". The stretch from base 1 to 137 matches the Rfam family "Eukaryotic small subunit ribosomal RNA", at positions 1671 to 1831 of the family's 1831-position model. The record is from RNAcentral. Lineage: Eukaryota; Parabasalia; Trichomonadida; Trichomonadidae.
GCCCGUCGCUCCUACCGAUUGGAUGACUCGGUGAAAUCACCGGAUGCUUACGAGCAGAAAGUGAUUAAAUCACGUUAUCUAGAGGAAGGAGAAGUCGUAACAAGGUAACGGUAGGUGAACCUGCCGUUGGAUCAGUUCUAGUUUUAAUAACUAACACCAACUUCUUUUAUUAAACAAAAACCAAUACAAAAUUAAAAACUAACUUCAUCAAAAACCAAGUCUCUAAGC